Molecule: long non-coding RNA, 1423 nt
Organism: Equus asinus (donkey)
Lineage: Eukaryota; Metazoa; Chordata; Mammalia; Perissodactyla; Equidae
Source: Ensembl
AUUCAGCUGUUUGCAGGCUGUAUCCAAAAGUACCCACUGUUGAUACAAGCAGUGUCUAUCUAGAUGCUGCUGGAGAACGGCGGCCCCUCUUGUACAGAGGAAGGGGGCGGAAGAAGAGCUCUCCCAAUGUGCACACUAUGCAGGUCCCCAAGGCAGGAUUCCCAACCCAGACCCGACAUCAUGCCAGUCCUGAAGAGGGAGGCCAGGUGCAUGGAAAUUUCUCUUGCCCAGAGGGAUCGCCCUGACUUUAUGCUGCUGCCUCCAGCUUGGGAGGAGAUCCUGGAAGAGUUAGAGAGGACACCAAGGAAGAGGUGCACACACAACGAGAAAGGCAAACAAGACUCGUGAAAGUUUCCUCAGGAUGAGUCACUGCUCCGGCCCUCUCUCCUUGCUGGGUGCACACUCCUGCAGGACUUAGCUCCCGGGAGACCCAGAGUAACCCCCCGCCCAAAGGAGGUCUGAAAUCUCCGUGUGAUGGUGGAUGAGGCGAUGAGGGGCGUGGCCAAGCAGAAAUGCAGAAAGUGCCGCUCACUGUGAUGAAGAGUCGGCGGUCUGAGAUGCGCCCCAGCCCGGGCGCCCGCCUAAAACGGUCUAAAAUAUCUCCCACCUACUCCCCACUUCCUCUUAUCCAUCUCCCGGCUUCUUCCUGCUCCUACCAGCCUGAUGACUCACAGAGCGGUACUUGUACUAAAUAUGUUGUCAGUAAAAAGUCCUCCACCAUCUUGGUCCUUGCUUUUAAAAUUCAGAUAUUGAAGAAUGUAUAACCUGUUUGGAGAAAAGGAUAAGCCAAAAUUAUUUUCUGUGGUUGCAAAGCAUGCAACCUUACUCAUCAUCUUUAUGCUUCUGUUGCGUCAGUGGAGUGGACCGUAGUCCCGGAACGGUUACUGUGGGCACGAAAUAAUUUAGCUCCCGAAGAGACUGCCUCAGGCCCCCGCUCCGUUCCUAUCAGCAAGAGGGGGAAGCUCAGCUUGCUAAUGGCGAGCUAACUGGAAUAGAGUGAGACUCUUUCUAGGUAUUUGCAGGGUGUUGAAACGUGAACAACGGAAUCAUUUAAAUGUAAAGAAACUGCUAAAUAACUUCCAGCCCGCAUUACUGAGACUGGCGGGUAGAGCUGGGAAAGCUGUGGAAGAAGGAGCCGCGAGCGAGCGGCCUGUGGGCCCCCGCGGAGAGCGACGCGGCCGGCCGGGGCUUCGGCGCCAGCGAGCAGUUUGCAGUCCAACGGGAGGCAGGACAAGCCCUCCCACCCCAGCACCUUUGAGGGCUUGUUUUAACACAACUCUUGGGGUUGAAAUCACAGGAGAAUAGCAUCUCUUUUCUUUCUUUCUCUUGUUCCUUUUUUUUUAGGUCAGAAUUAAAACCAAACGUUCACUUUGUUUAAAAUGGAAAUAGUUCCAGUCUUUUUAUAAGCAACCUCGAAUUAAAA